GAGCCUAACAGAACGGGCACCCGAGUCGAGCGGAACGAUGGAAGCUUGCUUCCAGGCGUCGAGCGGCGGACGGGAGAGUAAUGCAUAGGAAUCUGCCCGGUAGUGGGGGAUAACCUGGGGAAACCCAGGCUAAUACCGCAUACGUCCUACGGGAGAAAGCAGGGGAUCUUCGGACCUUGCGCUAUCGGAUGAGCCUAUGUCGGAUUAGCUAGUUGGUGAGGUAAUGGCUCACCAAGGCGACGAUCCGUAGCUGGUCUGAGAGGAUGAUCAGCCACAUCGGGACUGAGACACGGCCCGAACUCCUACGGGAGGCAGCAGUGGGGAAUAUUGGACAAUGGGGGCAACCCUGAUCCAGCCAUGCCGCGUGUGUGAAGAAGGCUUUCGGGUUGUAAAGCACUUUCAGUGGGGAAGAAAGCCUUGGGGCUAAUACCCUCGAGGAAGGACAUCACCCACAGAAGAAGCACCGGCUAACUCCGUGCCAGCAGCCGCGGUAAUACGGAGGGUGCGAGCGUUAAUCGGAAUUACUGGGCGUAAAGCGCGCGUAGGUGGCUUGAUAAGCCGGUUGUGAAAGCCCCGGGCUCAACCUGGGAACGGCAUCCG
Molecule: ribosomal RNA, 600 nt
Filed under: Billgrantia campisalis
Lineage: Bacteria; Pseudomonadati; Pseudomonadota; Gammaproteobacteria; Oceanospirillales; Halomonadaceae
Description: bacterial SSU rRNA
Rfam family: Bacterial small subunit ribosomal RNA
Source: RNAcentral